UGCAUGUCUAAGUACAUGCCGUAUUAAGGCGAAACCGCGAAUGGCUCAUUAAAUCAGUUAUGGUUCCUUGGAUCGUACCUUACUACUUGGAUAACUGUGGCAAUUCUAGAGCUAAUACAUGCAGCAGAGCUCCGACCCUCAGGGGACGAGCGCUUUUAUUAGACCAAAACCAAUCGGACCUCGUGUCCGUCUCUUGUGGUGACUCUGUAUAACUUUGGGCUGAUCGCACGGGCCCGUCCCGGCGACGUAUCUUUCAAGUGUCUGCCUUAUCAACUUUCGAUGGUAGGUUACGCGCCUACCAUGGUCGUAACGGGUAACGGGGAAUCAGGGUUCGAUUCCGGAGAGGGAGCCUGAGAAACGGCUACCACAUCCAAGGAAGGCAGCAGGCGCGCAAAUUACCCACUCCCAGAACGGGGAGGUAGUGACGAAAAAUAACAAUACGGGACUCUUUUGAGACCCCGUAAUUGGAAUGAGUACACUUUAAAUCCUUUAACGAGGAUCCAUUAGAGGGCAAGUCUGGUGCCAGCAGCCGCGGUAAUUCCAGCUCUAAUAGCGUAUAUUAAAGUUGUUGCGGUUAAAAAGCUCGUAGUUGGAUCUCAGUUCCAGACGGGUGGUCCUCCUUACGGUGGCUACUGCCUGUUCUGAACAGCCAGCCGGUUUCUCUUGAUGAUCUUCACCGGUUGUCUUGGGUGACCGGCAAGUUUACUUUGAAAAAAUUAGAGUGCUCAAAGCAGGCGUGACGCCUGAAUAAUGGUGCAUGGAAUAAUGGAAUAGGACCUCGGUUCUAUUUUGUUGGUUUUCGGAACACGAGGUAAUGAUUANNAGGGACAGACGGNGGCAUUCGUAUUGCGACGCUAGAGGUGAAANUCUUGNANCGUCG
Molecule: ribosomal RNA, 880 nt
Filed under: Mastigusa sp.
Lineage: Eukaryota; Metazoa; Arthropoda; Arachnida; Araneae; Hahniidae
Description: SSU rRNA
Rfam family: Eukaryotic small subunit ribosomal RNA
Source: RNAcentral